This 495-nucleotide ribosomal RNA is filed under the name uncultured bacterium. RNAcentral's name for it is "partial 16S ribosomal RNA". It matches the Rfam family "Bacterial small subunit ribosomal RNA", at positions 28 to 507 of the family's 1533-position model. The record is from RNAcentral.
GAUGAACGCUGGCGGCGUGCCUAAUACAUGCAAGUCGAGCGAACAGACGAGGAGCUUGCUCCUCUGACGUUAGCGGCGGACGGGUGAGUAACACGUGGAUAACCUACCUAUAAGACUGGGAUAACUUCGGGAAACCGGAGCUAAUACCGGAUAAUAUAUUGAACCGCAUGGUUCAAUAGUGAAAGACGGUUUUGCUGUCACUUAUAGAUGGAUCCGCGCCGCAUUAGCUAGUUGGUAAGGUAACGGCUUACCAAGGCAACGAUGCGUAGCCGACCUGAGAGGGUGAUCGGCCACACUGGAACUGACACGGUCCAGACUCCUACGGGAGGCAGCAGUAGGGAAUCUUCCGCAAAGGGCGAAAGCCUGACGGAGCAACGCCGCGUGAGUGAUGAAGGUCUUCGGAUCGUAAAACUCUGUUAUUAGGGAAGAACAAAUGUGUAAGUAACUAUGCACGUCUUGACGGUACCUAAUCAGAAAGCCACGGCUAACUACGUG